Molecule: ribosomal RNA, 497 nt
Filed under: uncultured bacterium
Lineage: Bacteria
Description: partial 16S ribosomal RNA
Rfam family: Bacterial small subunit ribosomal RNA
Source: RNAcentral
GACGAACGCUGGCGGCGUGCCUAAUACAUGCAAGUAGAACGCUGAAGAGAGGAGCUUGCUCUUCUUGGAUGAGUUGCGAACGGGUGAGUAACGCGUAGGUAACCUGCCUUGUAGCGGGGGAUAACUAUUGGAAACGAUAGCUAAUACCGCAUAACAAUAGGUGACACAUGUCAUUUAUUUGAAAGGGGCAAUUGCUCCACUACAAGAUGGACCUGCGUUGUAUUAGCUAGUAGGUGAGGUAACGGCUCACCUAGGCGACGAUACAUAGCCGACCUGAGAGGGUGAUCGGCCACACUGGGACUGAGACACGGCCCAGACUCCUACGGGAGGCAGCAGUAGGGAAUCUUCGGCAAUGGGGGCAACCCUGACCGAGCAACGCCGCGGGAGUGAAGAAGGGUUUCGGAUCGUAAAGCUCUGUUGUAAGUCAAGAACGAGUGUGAGAGUGGAAAGUUCACACUGUGACGGUAGCUUACCAGAAAGAGACGGCUAACUACGUG